RNAcentral lists this transfer RNA (76 nucleotides) under Flavobacterium saliperosum. RNAcentral's name for it is "tRNA_Gly_GCC". It matches the Rfam family "tRNA". Rfam says of the family: Transfer RNA (tRNA) molecules are approximately 80 nucleotides in length. Their secondary structure includes four short double-helical elements and three loops (D, anti-codon, and T loops). RNAcentral also lists the same sequence under 4 other names. The record is from RNAcentral. Lineage: Bacteria; Pseudomonadati; Bacteroidota; Flavobacteriia; Flavobacteriales; Flavobacteriaceae.
GCGAAAAUAGCUCAGCUGGUAGAGCGCAACCUUGCCAAGGUUGAGGUCGCGGGUUCGAACCCCGUUUUUCGCUCAA